This 23-nucleotide microRNA is filed under the name Brugia malayi. RNAcentral's name for it is "bma-miR-5882a". RNAcentral also lists the same sequence under 1 other name. Lineage: Eukaryota; Metazoa; Nematoda; Chromadorea; Rhabditida; Onchocercidae. The record is from miRBase by way of RNAcentral.
UGGGUAAUCAGGACAGUGCAUAU